This 341-nucleotide ribosomal RNA is filed under the name uncultured bacterium. RNAcentral's name for it is "bacterial SSU rRNA". It matches the Rfam family "Bacterial small subunit ribosomal RNA", at positions 1140 to 1481 of the family's 1533-position model. The record is from RNAcentral.
UUAAGGAAACUGCCGGUGAUAAGCCGGAGGAAGGUGGGGAUGACGUCAAGUCUUCAUGGCCCUUACAGGCUGGGCUACACACGUGCUACAAUGGCAUCUACAGUGGGCAGCUAUUCCGCAAGGAUGCGCUAAUCUCCAAAAGAUGUCUCAGUUCGGAUUGUCCUCUGCAACUCGAGGGCAUGAAGGCGGAAUCGCUAGUAAUCGCGGAUCAGCAUGCCGCGGUGAAUACGUUCCCAGGCCUUGUACACACCGCCCGUCACACCAUGGGAGUUGGAUUCACCCGAAGGCAGUGCGCUAACCGCAAGGAGGCAGCUGACCACGGUGGGUUCAGCGACUGGGGU